Molecule: ribosomal RNA, 254 nt
Filed under: uncultured prokaryote
Description: partial 16S ribosomal RNA
Rfam family: Bacterial small subunit ribosomal RNA
Source: RNAcentral
UACGUAGGUGGCGAGCGUUAUCCGGAAUUAUUGGGCGUAAAGAGCGCGCAGGCGGUGACUUAAGUCUGAUGUGAAAGCCCACGGCUCAACCGUGGAAGGUCAUUGGAAACUGGGUCACUUGAAUGGAGCAGAGGAGAACGGAAUUCCAUGUGUAGCAGUGAAAUGCGUAGAUAUAUGGAGGAACACCAGUGGCGAAGGCGGUUCUCUGGGCUCACAUUGACGCUGAGGCUCGAAAGCGUGGGGAGCGAACAGGA